AGACCGAUAGCGAACAAGUAGAGUGAUCGAAAGAUGAAAAGCACUUUGAAAAGAGAGUUAAACAGCACGUGAAAUUGUUGAAAGGGAAGCGCUUGCGACCAGACUCGCCCACGGGGUUCAGCCGGCAUUCGUGCCGGUGUACUUCCCCGCGGGCGGGCCAGCGUCGGUUUGGGCGGCCGGUCAAAGGCCCUCGGAAUGUAACGCCCCCCGGGGCGUCUUAUAGCCGAGGGUGCCAUGCGGCCAGCCCGGACCGAGGAACGCGCUUCGGCUCGGACGCUGGCAUAAUGGUCGUAAGCGACCCGUCUUGAAACACGGACCAAG
This 321-nucleotide ribosomal RNA is filed under the name Penicillium oxalicum. Its description in RNAcentral is "LSU rRNA". It matches the Rfam family "Eukaryotic large subunit ribosomal RNA", at positions 331 to 670 of the family's 3401-position model. The record is from RNAcentral. Lineage: Eukaryota; Fungi; Ascomycota; Eurotiomycetes; Eurotiales; Aspergillaceae.